CCUCUCGUAAUUUCUCCCAAUAAUUACUUGUCACUUACAUGGAGAAAGAAACCCCUUGGAGACUGACAUAAAGCUACCUAUACAUUAACAACACAUCACCCCUCCAUCUGUAUAUGUGAACGACAGAUGGAGGGUGUGUUGGAAAAAGCUAGCUUAAGGGUUGAGAUUCAGCAAAGGAAGCUUUUUCUUUUCCCCUGCUGGCUGAGUUUUGAAUUUUGAAUGUUGAUGAUGAAAGGGGAAAAGAAAAAGUACAUGAAGAUGGACCCUGUGAGUAAAUUAACACCUUCACGGAGCAUGUGAGGAUUAGAAAGGUGGUGGUGGUAUGUAUGGUGUAAAGCUUGAGAGAGUGGCGGUCCCUCCCAAUAUGGAGAAAAAGAGUGGAACAAUUCUCUGCAUGGACUGGAUAUCUCUCCACUCCACUCUCUCCCUUAGUGCAACAUUUCUUCUUCUUCCUAUUAUUGUUAUGAUGAUAUUCAAAGUCUGUCAAUUUCAUCUCUAUGCAUGCGCUUGCUUGCUCGUCUUGCCCUUUUCUUCCAUCCAAUUUCCCUCAUGCAUAUCCAUCUUUCUUUGUUUUUUUCUUUCAAUAUUUCUUUUAGUAACAUCUAAUUUAUCC
RNAcentral lists this long non-coding RNA (613 nucleotides) under Gossypium raimondii (Peruvian cotton). Its description in RNAcentral is "long non-coding RNA (GRAI_LNC006882)". The record is from RNAcentral. Lineage: Eukaryota; Viridiplantae; Streptophyta; Magnoliopsida; Malvales; Malvaceae.